Molecule: long non-coding RNA, 305 nt
Organism: Rhodamnia argentea
Lineage: Eukaryota; Viridiplantae; Streptophyta; Magnoliopsida; Myrtales; Myrtaceae
Exons: 3
Source: RefSeq, a predicted model, not a curated record
GAGAGAGAGAGAUGGGAAGCAACACUUUGCUCAUUAACAUAGUUUGCUGCAUUAUUAUGAUGCUGCUCCUCCAUCUUCAUUUUACCUCAGCUGGAAGGUCCAUCAAUCCUCAAGGUUGUGGUCAUCGUGCUAGUCAAAAUGGCGGUUCGGGUGGAAACAAUCCAUCUCCUUCCCCAGGAUGCCACCAUUAAAUCAUGGAAGCUUGUUCAGGUCCAGCGCCAAACCUGCUAUUCAGGAUAUUUAGUUCUUAAGCGUUGGAGUACUUGUGAUAUGAUUGACUUUAGUGUAUCAGAUAUUUCUAUGAA